UUAGUUACCAGCACGUUAUGGUGGGCACUCUAAGGAGACUGCCGGUGACAACCGGAGGAAGGUGGGGAUGACGUCAAGUCAUCAUGGCCCUUACGGCCUGGGCUACACACGUGCUACAAUGGUCGGUACAAAGGGUUGCCAAGCCGCGAGGUGGAGCUAAUCCCAUAAAAACCGAUCGUAGUCCGGAUCGCAGUCUGCAACUCGACUGCGUGAAGUCGGAAUCGCUAGUAAUCGUGAAUCAGAGUGUCACGGUGAAUACGUUCCCGGGCCUU
Molecule: ribosomal RNA, 272 nt
Filed under: uncultured Pseudomonas sp.
Lineage: Bacteria; Pseudomonadati; Pseudomonadota; Gammaproteobacteria; Pseudomonadales; Pseudomonadaceae
Description: partial 16S ribosomal RNA
Rfam family: Bacterial small subunit ribosomal RNA
Source: RNAcentral